AGUGAACGCUGGCGGUAGGCCUAACACAUGCAAGUCGAACGGCAGCACAGUAAGAGCUUGCUCUUACGGGUGGCGAGUGGCGGACGGGUGAGGAAUACAUCGGAAUCUACUUUUUCGUGGGGGAUAACGUAGGGAAACUUACGCUAAUACCGCAUACGACCUACGGGUGAAAGCAGGGGAUCUUCGGACCUUGCGCGAUUGAAUGAGCCGAUGUCGGAUUAGCUAGUUGGCGGGGUAAAGGCCCACCAAGGCGACGAUCCGUAGCUGGUCUGAGAGGAUGAUCAGCCACACUGGAACUGAGACACGGUCCAGACUCCUACGGGAGGCAGCAGUGGGGAAUAUUGGACAAUGGGCGCAAGCCUGAUCCAGCCAUGCCGCGUGGGUGAAGGAGGCCUUCGGGUUGUAAAGCCCUUUUGUUGGGAAAGAAAAGCAGCAGGUUAAUACCCCGCUGUUCUGACGGUACCCAAAGAAUAAGCACCGGCUAACUUCGUG
Molecule: ribosomal RNA, 492 nt
Filed under: uncultured bacterium
Lineage: Bacteria
Description: partial 16S ribosomal RNA
Rfam family: Bacterial small subunit ribosomal RNA
Source: RNAcentral